GCAGAGUAGAACGUUAUGCGUUAAGUGCCUUAUGAACAGGGAGUUGUCAUAGGGACGAAAAGCAGCCCAAAGGUGGGCAUCAAAGCUUGCGGUAUAGUGUUCGCAUCCCGCUGC
Molecule: non-coding RNA, 114 nt
Filed under: pig gut metagenome
Description: THF riboswitch
Rfam family: THF (Tetrahydrofolate) riboswitch aptamer
About the family: THF riboswitch presents a pseudoknot that joins P1-P2 and the loop of P3 and two THF binding.
Source: RNAcentral